This 253-nucleotide ribosomal RNA is filed under the name uncultured bacterium. RNAcentral's name for it is "partial 16S ribosomal RNA". It matches the Rfam family "Bacterial small subunit ribosomal RNA", at positions 524 to 776 of the family's 1533-position model. The record is from RNAcentral.
UACGUAGGGUGCGAGCGUUACUCGGAAUUACUGGGCGUAAAGCGUGCGCAGGCGGUUUUGUAAGUCAGGUGUGAAAUCCCCGGGCUUAACCUGGGAACUGCGUUUGAAACUACAAGGCUAGAGUGUGACAGAGGGGGGUGGAAUUCCACGUGUAGCAGUGAAAUGCGUAGAGAUGUGGAGGAACACCGAUGGCGAAGGCAGCCCCCUGGGUUAACACUGACGCUCAGGCACGAAAGCGUGGGGAGCAAACAGG